Molecule: transfer RNA, 74 nt
Filed under: Hyphomicrobiaceae bacterium
Lineage: Bacteria; Pseudomonadati; Pseudomonadota; Alphaproteobacteria; Hyphomicrobiales; Hyphomicrobiaceae
Description: tRNA-Gln
Rfam family: tRNA
About the family: Transfer RNA (tRNA) molecules are approximately 80 nucleotides in length. Their secondary structure includes four short double-helical elements and three loops (D, anti-codon, and T loops). Further hydrogen bonds mediate the characteristic L-shaped molecular structure. tRNAs have two regions of fundamental functional importance: the anti-codon, which is responsible for specific mRNA codon recognition, and the 3' end, to which the tRNAs corresponding amino acid is attached (by aminoacyl-tRNA synthetases). tRNAs cope with the degeneracy of the genetic code in two manners: having more than one tRNA (with a specific anti-codon) for a particular amino acid; and 'wobble' base-pairing, i.e. permitting non-standard base-pairing at the 3rd anti-codon position.
Source: RNAcentral
UGGGGGAUAGUUUAAUGGUAGAACAACGGACUCUGACUCCGUUAGUCUAGGUUCGAAUCCUAGUCCCCCAGCCA